Molecule: ribosomal RNA, 497 nt
Filed under: uncultured bacterium
Lineage: Bacteria
Description: partial 16S ribosomal RNA
Rfam family: Bacterial small subunit ribosomal RNA
Source: RNAcentral
GAUGAACGCUGGCGGCGUGCCUAAUACAUGCAAGUCGAGCGAACAGACGAGGAGCUUGCUCCUCUGACGUUAGCGGCGGACGGGUGAGUAACACGUGGAUAACCUACCUAUAAGACUGGGAUAACUUCGGGAAACCGGAGCUAAUACCGGAUAAUAUAUUGAACCGCAUGGUUCAAUAGUGAAAGACGGUUUUGCUGUCACUUAUAGAUGGGUCCGCGCCGCAUUAGCUAGUUGGUAAGGUAACGGCUUACCAAGGCAACGAUGCGUAGCCGACCUGAGAGGGUGAUCGGCCACCCUGGAACUGGGACACGGUCCAGACUCCUACGGGAGGCAGCAGUAGGGAAUCUUCCGCAAUGGGCGAAAGCUUGACGGAGCAACGCCGCGUGAGUGAUGAAGGUCUUCGGAUCGUAAAACUCUGUUAUUAGGGAAGAACAAAUGUGUAAGUAACUAUGCACGUCUUGACGGUACCUAAUCAGAAAGCCACGGCUAACUACGUG